Molecule: long non-coding RNA, 964 nt
Filed under: Durio zibethinus
Lineage: Eukaryota; Viridiplantae; Streptophyta; Magnoliopsida; Malvales; Malvaceae
Description: long non-coding RNA (DZIB_LNC002019)
Source: RNAcentral
AAGAUUGGCUAGUGAUGAGGUUGAGUUGAUCUAUUAUCCUUAGUUGAUAAUUCAAUUUGAAUGGAAAUGAUUUUUAUUCAGUUUCAAUUUGGCAAAAAGAUAAAAACGAUUUGAAGAUUUUAAUCACAAGUGAAACUCUAUUCGAGUGAAGGAAUUAUAUUACAGAAAGACAUGGAAUCAUCAACACAAGAGGACACGACAGUAUUGAGAGAAAAAUAGAGAGGGAAAAAUCUUAGAGAAAACAAAUGAGGAAAAAAUGAUUAUAGGAAGUAAUCAAUUGCAACCACCAGUGCCACCACUAUUUUCACCAAGCCAAUUCUGCCACCAUCUCCAUAGUCGAGCCCAGAUCCUUCUGCAAAAAGCAUACUACAACACAAUUCCAGGUUGAGGCCACUAGACCCAAUAACAACUCAUAAGAUAGCCAAAAAUCCCUAGUAAUCAACAAUUAUAAUCCAAAACACAAUUACACAGAAAGUACACUAUUGCAAAUCUACAGCCUUCAAACACAGUACACAAGAAAUAAAUCGGGGCAAGCCAGUUAGCUUUUGGAGAGAUCGGACGAUGGAGGUGGAAACCUAAAGAACGUGGAGAAGCAAACAGUUAGAAAGUCGGUUAGCACCAAUGCUCGAAGCAGCAACAAUAGCAGUUGGCAAUAGUGACAUGAGCUUUUGAGAUCAAGAAAGGUAGAAGUGUAGAGCAAAGAACGGUGAAUAACAUAUCCAAAAAUCAACAUGAUCGGAUGGUGUAAAGACGCUAAAAUAGUGGAAGAAAGUUACAGCUUGUAGCUUUAGAUCCAGGGCAUUUAAGAAGGAUUUUCAAAAACCCGAGCCUGUAUCCGAGACGAGGAAACGGAGAAGAAGGAACAGUGGAAUUUUAGGCUGCAUUGGUGACUGGACAAUGGUGGUGUGUGGUGACAGGCGACGGCACUAUUGUCCAAAAUAUGAAAAAUAGGAUUUCUGUUCAU